RNAcentral lists this ribosomal RNA (465 nucleotides) under uncultured beta proteobacterium. RNAcentral's name for it is "bacterial SSU rRNA". It matches the Rfam family "Bacterial small subunit ribosomal RNA", at positions 338 to 795 of the family's 1533-position model. The record is from RNAcentral. Lineage: Bacteria; Pseudomonadati; Pseudomonadota; Betaproteobacteria.
CCUACGGGUGGCUGCAGUGGGGAAUUUUGGACAAUGGGGGCAACCCUGAUCCAGCCAUGCCGCGUGCGGGAAGAAGGCCUUCGGGUUGUAAACCGCUUUUAUUUGGGAAGAAGGAGUAGGGGCUAAUACCCUCUAUGACGGACGGUACCGGAUGAAUAAGCACCGGCUAACUACGUGCCAGCAGCCGCGGUAAUACGUAGGGUGCGAGCGUUAAUCGGAAUUACUGGGCGUAAAGCGUGCGCAGGCGGUUCUGCAAGUCAGCUGUGAAAGCCCCGGGCUUAACCUGGGAACGGCGGUUGAAACUGCAGGACUAGAAUCUGGCAGAGGGGGGUGGAAUUCCACGUGUAGCAGUGAAAUGCGUAGAGAUGUGGAGGAACACCGAUGGCGAAGGCAGCCCCCUGGGCUAAGAUUGACGCUCAGGCACGAAAGCGUGGGGAGCAAACAGGCUUAGAUACCCGGGUAGUC